AAAAAUGGAGACUAUGUUCCUAUUCCAGUGGCUGCAAUAACACUCACCCCACUGAUCAUCAAGGUUGAUUCUGCUGAUCUGACUGACUAGGCAGUUUUCCUUUCCUCCUUCACUGCUCCUUGUACAAAUAUCCCUCCAGAAGCUGCAUGCUUGGUAGAAGAGGAUGACCAUCCCAGAUAGAAGGAGUAUAAGUGAUGUUUGGUCAAGAAUAUAUGAUAACUGUGUUUCUCCGCAAGAACCUCCAAACAAGCUCAAGGUCCAUUAGACAUGUAUUUCUUAUCUAAGUUUUCUUAUAAAACUUACAAAGAUGACUGUAAAUCUUU
Molecule: non-coding RNA, 323 nt
Organism: Ophiophagus hannah (king cobra)
Lineage: Eukaryota; Metazoa; Chordata; Lepidosauria; Squamata; Elapidae
Rfam family: 7SK RNA
About the family: 7SK was discovered as an abundant small nuclear RNA in the mid-70s but a possible function has only recently been suggested. Two independent studies have found that 7SK RNA binds the CDK9/cyclin T complex (known as elongation factor P-TEFb).
Source: Rfam